UACGUAGGGGGCAAGCGUUGACCGGAUUCAUUGGGCGUAAAGAGCGUGUAGGCGGCCAGGUAGGUCGGUUGUGAAAACUGGAGGCUCAACCUUCAGACGUCGACCGAAACCCCCUGGCUAGAGUCCGGGAGAGGAGAGUGGAAUUCCUGGUGUAGCGGUGGAAUGCGCAGAUAUCAGGAAGAACACCCGUGGCGAAAGCGGCUCUCUGGAACGGUACUGACGCUGAGACGCGAAAGCGUGGGGAGCGAACAGG
This 253-nucleotide ribosomal RNA is filed under the name uncultured bacterium. Its description in RNAcentral is "partial 16S ribosomal RNA". It matches the Rfam family "Bacterial small subunit ribosomal RNA", at positions 524 to 776 of the family's 1533-position model. The record is from RNAcentral.